This 459-nucleotide ribosomal RNA is filed under the name uncultured bacterium. RNAcentral describes it as "partial 16S ribosomal RNA". It matches the Rfam family "Bacterial small subunit ribosomal RNA", at positions 338 to 795 of the family's 1533-position model. The record is from RNAcentral.
CCUACGGGGGGCAGCAGUGAGGAAUAUUGGUCAAUGGGCGGAAGCCUGAACCAGCCAAGUAGCGUGCGGGAUGAAGGCCCUACGGGUCGUAAACCGCUUUUGCACGGGGAUAACACCCUCCACUUGUGGAGGUCUGCAGGUACCGUGCGAAUAAGGGCCGGCUAAUUCCGUUCCAGCAGCCGCGGGAAUACGGAAGGCGCGAGCGUUAACCGGAUUCAUUGGGCUUAAAGGGAGCGUAGGCGGGCGUUCAAGUCAGCGGUAAAAUCGCGCGGCUCAACCGCGCCCCGCAGUUGAAACUGGCGGCCUUGAGUGCACAACAGGCAGGCGGAAUUCGUGGUGUAGCGGUGAAAUGCAUAGAUAUCACGAGGAACCCCGAUUGCGAAGGCAGCCUGCCGGGGCGCGACUGACGCUGAGGCUCGAAGGUGCGGGUAUCAAACAGGAUUAGAUACCCCUGUAGUC